UACGUGGGGUGCAAGCGUUGUCCGGAAUUAUUGGGCGUAAAGAGCUCGUAGGCGGUUCGUCGCGUCGGCUGUGAAAACCCGGAGCUCAACUCCGGGCCUGCAGUCGAUACGGGCGGACUAGAGUUCGGCAGGGGAGACUGGAAUUCCUGGUGUAGCGGUGAAAUGCGCAGAUAUCAGGAGGAACACCGGUGGCGAAGGCGGGUCUCUGGGCCGAUACUGACGCUGAGGAGCGAAAGCGUGGGGAGCGAACAGG
Molecule: ribosomal RNA, 253 nt
Filed under: uncultured bacterium
Lineage: Bacteria
Description: partial 16S ribosomal RNA
Rfam family: Bacterial small subunit ribosomal RNA
Source: RNAcentral